GCCGCCGUAGCUCAGCCGGUAGAUUGGAUUAUCGCUAGCCGUAAGCGCCACCCUGGUAAGGUGGAGGUCCCGGGUUCGAAUCCCGGCGGCGGCU
Molecule: transfer RNA, 94 nt
Filed under: Staphylothermus marinus
Lineage: Archaea; Thermoproteati; Thermoproteota; Thermoprotei; Desulfurococcales; Desulfurococcaceae
Also listed under: 3 other names
Description: tRNA-Thr
Rfam family: tRNA
About the family: Transfer RNA (tRNA) molecules are approximately 80 nucleotides in length.
Source: RNAcentral